RNAcentral lists this ribosomal RNA (879 nucleotides) under Triticum aestivum (bread wheat). Its description in RNAcentral is "partial small subunit ribosomal RNA". Lineage: Eukaryota; Viridiplantae; Streptophyta; Magnoliopsida; Poales; Poaceae. The record is from RNAcentral.
AUGGGGCUUCUGGUGCUGCUUCAGGUCCUCCUCGUCGCGGCCGCGGCGGCGAGGGCUCCGGCGGCGCGGGCGUGGGGCGUGGAGGGCCACUACAUGACCUGCAAGAUCGCCGAGGGUUUGCUGACGAGCGAGGCCACGACGGCGGUGAAGGGCCUCCUGCCGGGGUGGGCCAACGGCGAGCUCGCGGGGGCGUGCUCGUGGCCGGACAUCGAGCGGCGCCGGAUGCCGUGGUCCGGCUCCCUGCACUUCGCCGACACCCCCGGCGACUGCAAGUUCAGCUACGCAAGGGACUGCCACGGCCCGAAAGGGGAGAAGGACAUGUGCGUGGUCGGAGGCAUCAACAACUACACCGCCGCGCUGCAAGACUCCUCAAGCCCGUAUAAUCGGACGGAGAGCCUGCUGUUCCUGGCGCACUUCCUCGGCGACGUCCACCAGCCCAUGCACUGCGGCCGCACCGCCGACCUCGGCGGUAACACCAUCCUCGUCACCUGGUACAGCACAGCCAAGACCAACCUUCACAAGGUGUGGGAUGACAAGGUGAUCCAGACGGCCAUGAGCAAGUUCUACAAGGAUGACCUAAGCACCAUGAUCGACGCCAUCAAGCUCAACCUUACUGAGGAUUGGUGCACCGAAGAGAACCAGUGGACGGCCUGCAGUACACAAACAACAACUUGUGCUGACAAGUACGCCGAGGAGAGCGCGGAGCUGUCGUGCCCGGCUUACGUGGGUGUUGGGCAAUACUCCAACUUAGAAGAUGAAUAUUUCUUCCCGGCGAUGCCGGUUGUUGAGAAGAGGAUUGCCCAGGGAGGUGUCAGGCUGGCGGCCAUCCUCAACCGGAUCUUCAGUGGGGAGAACAACAGCAGGCUGCAGAGCCUUUGA